UUGUUGCAUGCUGUGAGUGCAAGGGGCUUCUUUGACAGUGUUGGUUUAAAUGCAAAGGCAUGGUGCAAAAUCUAGUCCAUGUCCAUCAUUCAGCAGUCCUGUUUUUCCCUUUCAGACUCCUCCCAGCAUGACGCAUUAGAAGCUAUUGAGAAACCUGAGGUUGAAGUCACCAUUGAAGAUGAUGAUGACUAUGUGGUCCCUGACAAGAGAUUGCAGAGCAGCAAGUCAGCUAAUGAAGCUGCCAGUACUGGGAAAAGAAAAGCAAACGAGCUCCAUUCAGAUUCUUCCCAGCAUGACUCAUCAGAAACAAGUGAGGAUUCUGAGGCUGAAGUGUCUAGUGAAGAUGAUGAUGAUGAUGAUGAGUACCUGCCCCCUAGCAAGAGACCGAGGAGCAGCAGCAGACGGCGGUUGACUAAUGACACUCCCAGUAGUGGUAGAAGAAGAGCAAAGACGUUCAAUCGCAGUAAGAUGAACAUUAAAGAUGAUUUCAUCUCCUUGCUUUGUUUUAUGAAAAGGUUUUGGGUAAUUUUGUGCUGUAGCAGUGAUACAUGUUACUAUAAGCCUUCAUUUGAAAGCCAUGGGCUCUUUGUGGAAGUAUUGCUGCAUCAUCAUAGUCUGUGUUGCUUUUUGUUAUGUGACUUGACAACAUAAAUACACGCACAUGAUGUUGGGAUCUUCUGGUUGUGUUCUUUCCUGAUCCAUUGUAUUGGUUUUUUCACAGAAAAGCAUCUGUGCACUUCAGUUUACUCUGGUUAGAGAUGCUUUUCCUGGGAUUUUUUUGUGGUUCUGUACCUCUCCUUUAUUCUGUGCU
Molecule: long non-coding RNA, 811 nt
Filed under: Cyanistes caeruleus (blue tit)
Lineage: Eukaryota; Metazoa; Chordata; Aves; Passeriformes; Paridae
Description: lncRNA (ENSCCEG00000002430.1)
Source: RNAcentral